Molecule: long non-coding RNA, 231 nt
Filed under: Ananas comosus (pineapple)
Lineage: Eukaryota; Viridiplantae; Streptophyta; Magnoliopsida; Poales; Bromeliaceae
Description: long non-coding RNA (ACOM_LNC012485)
Source: RNAcentral
UUUAGCCAUUAGAUUAAGAGAUGUGCGGUUAGGAUGAUAUGGGCCCACUAGGGUUGAGUGGGUGGUUGGUUGAAUAAUAUGAUCUAACGGGUGAAAAUGAUUAAAAGGAUAGAUCUAACGGUGGAAAACUCGAUAAUACCAAGUGUUUCGUGCUAUUAAUAGUAUAAUAACCGAACUCUAUAUAUAUAUAUAUAUAUAUAUAUAUAUGAAUCUGUGUUUCGGGUGCUCGGA